UGGUGGUAUGAUGGUGUAACUUCCCC
This 26-nucleotide non-coding RNA is filed under the name Rattus norvegicus (Norway rat). Lineage: Eukaryota; Metazoa; Chordata; Mammalia; Rodentia; Muridae. The record is from RNAcentral.